GGCUCAGACAGCCAGGAUGUUGGCUUAGAAGCAGCCAUCAUUUAAAGAAAGCGUAAUAGCUCACUGGUCGAGUCGGCCUGCGCGGAAGAUUUAACGGGGCUAAGCUAUACACCGAAGCUGCGGCAAUGUGCUUAUGCACAUUGGGUAGGGGAGCGUUCUGUAAGCCGUUGAAGGUGCAUUGUAAAGUGUGCUGGAGGUAUCAGAAGUGCGAAUGCUGACAUGAGUAACGACAAAGGGAGUGAAAAACUCCCUCGCCGGAAGACCAAGGGUUCCUGUCCAACGUUAAUCGGGGCAGGGUGAGUCGACCCCUAAGGCGAGGCCGAAAGGCGUAGUCGAUGGGAAACGGGUUAAUAUUCCCGUACUUCUUACUAUUGCGAUGGGGGGACGGAGAAGGCUAGGUGAGCCUGGCGACGGUUGUCCAGGUCCAAGUACGUAGGUGGAUGAAUUAGGCAAAUCCGGUUCAUCAUUAACACUGAGAUACGAUGUCGAGCUACUACGGUAGCGAAGUCAUUGAUGCCAUGCUUCCGGGAAAAGCCUCUAAGCUUCAGAUAGUAAGAAAUCGUACCCCAAACCGACACAGGUGGUCGGGUAGAGAAUACCAAGG
Molecule: ribosomal RNA, 604 nt
Filed under: Photobacterium damselae
Lineage: Bacteria; Pseudomonadati; Pseudomonadota; Gammaproteobacteria; Vibrionales; Vibrionaceae
Description: partial 23S ribosomal RNA
Rfam family: Bacterial large subunit ribosomal RNA
Source: RNAcentral